AUUGAACUUCGUUUGCAGUGAAAAUCCUUUUUAUCAGCCUUUUUCGGCUGAUUAAAAGAUUGCAACAAAUAGCUGGAGAUUGC
This 83-nucleotide small RNA is filed under the name Flavobacterium sinopsychrotolerans. Its description in RNAcentral is "Flavo-1 RNA". It matches the Rfam family "Flavo-1 RNA". The record is from RNAcentral. Lineage: Bacteria; Pseudomonadati; Bacteroidota; Flavobacteriia; Flavobacteriales; Flavobacteriaceae.